This is a long non-coding RNA of Homo sapiens (human), 249 nucleotides long. The record is from Ensembl. NCBI's taxonomy places the organism in Eukaryota, Metazoa, Chordata, Mammalia, Primates, Hominidae.
AUCAACUGCAAGAACAAACCAGCAAUCCUGAGAGGAACCACAGACCCUCUGAAAGAAGUGGACUGCUUCUGCAGGACCUGGGAGACACCCCAAAUACUAUGAGGUUUCAUGUGCUGCCCAGGAUGAGCCACUGUGCCCGGCCAAAUGAGCUAUUUAUGAUGAUCAUAAGGACACAAGAUAAGGAAAUCCAAUCAGUUGCUACGUGCUGAUGAUUCUGAUUCUGGCCCUGCAGUAUCGCUUGCAUGCACC